GAAAGAAAGAUACGAAAUAGAGGAGAUCAAGAACAAGCUGGAACCCAUAAAUACUGGAACCCCGUAAGGAUGGUUUAAACCCGUAUCAACUCUGGUUGCCUCUGAGCAAGGAGAUAUUUAUGGAAGCUUCCAAGAAGACAAAUGGAACAGAAUGGGAUGUUUGCUUUCAUGGAUCAGCAAUGAAUCACACCACUUUCUUUCAGUAAUGACACAGAGUUAUAGAGUCUUCAGAAAGAAGCAACAGAAAGAAAAUGCUUUCUGCUGGAGAUCUGUGAAAGGCAUGAAGGCUCCUGAAUGGGGAACUGGGAUUAGGAGAGAGAGGCUGACUGUGGUUGGACUCAAAGGACAAUAAACUUCCACGCUUGUUUACACCUGGGUGCUGUGUCCAAAUGCUGUCUCUGGGCAUUCACUCUGCUCCAGGAUCUUCAGAAAAACAGGCUAAUAGCUGGCUGAAGGGAAGGGAAGAAAAGAGGGAUUGUGUCGGUGUGGAAUGGUCCAUGGCUGAACUCCUCUUAGGGAUGAAGACAAAAGCAGACCCGUGGAGAUGGGGGUAUCAGGCACAGCUCUGAAAAUAAAAUGUUAUUGGCUCAAGUCUGAAGCUGUCAAUUUCCACUGAGAUGGAAUAUAUUCCUCAGAAAAGAGAAGCACCAAAUAUUAUUAUGCAGUCUGCCUUUGGAGAAGGGAAAAAACACCCACUUCUUAUAAAAACACUUUUUUCGGAUGAAGGAUUUGAUUUCAACUGAUGAGUCAUCACUGUGUUUUUUUACCACUUCGCCAAAAAGUGAGGUUGUUUAAAAAGCAUUUCUUGAAGCAAAUUCUUCCAUUGCUAGGGUUUCUCUCAUCUGAGAGAGAAGGCGUCCUAAGUCCGCAGUGCUAGAAGCUGUCCUGGUCUGCAUGAAAGAUACUGUGGGACGAGAUUCGUAGUUAUCAAGUUCUAGAUUCAUUAUUAAAAAUCAACCUCAAGAUAAUAUUCAUGAUCUGGAAGCAAGAAAUUAUCAAGAAACAGAAAAUAAAUUUUAAAACACAAAUUUCAAUGAGUAAAAAAUAUGUUGAAAAAUGACACAAUGAAUGUCAGAAAGCAAAGGAAUUUAAGAGAACUUGGUGGAUAUUGUAGAAGAGGUGACCGUAUGUCUUGGUUUACCAAGGACAGUCCCAGUUCAUUCCUGAAACGCACCCACUUUCACUCUCAAAAAUGUCUUGCUUUGGAUAGUGAGUUAUAUGGUCACCCCCAGUGUGGCGGUUUUAAAAUACGUCUGCAUGUUCUUUGACACUCUUACCAUCGAGUCUAUCCCUUCCUCUUGAAAACAGGUAGAUUUUUAUGACUGCCUGGAUGAACAGGAUGUGGCAGCAGAGACACUACCUGACUUCCAAAUCUAGGUUAGAAAGGGCCAGGAACCUUCUGGUUGGCCUUGGGAUACUUGCUCUUGGAGGUGUCAGCCACUCUAUAAGGAGUCUGGCUACCAAGAGCUGCGAUGUUGGAGAAACCAGAGAGCAAGAGCAAGAGAGUGAGCGAUGCGUGAGGAAGCCCGGCUGUGCUACUGGAGUCUUCCCAGUCCUGGCACCAAACACAUGG
Molecule: long non-coding RNA, 1573 nt
Organism: Equus caballus (horse)
Lineage: Eukaryota; Metazoa; Chordata; Mammalia; Perissodactyla; Equidae
Source: Ensembl